This 353-nucleotide long non-coding RNA is filed under the name Pan troglodytes (chimpanzee). Its description in RNAcentral is "long non-coding RNA NONPTRT017884". The record is from RNAcentral. Lineage: Eukaryota; Metazoa; Chordata; Mammalia; Primates; Hominidae.
GGUGCCUUAUUCUCCUGUUGUGAUGGUGGAGGUGGGCAGAAGUUGUGUGAUGACAGCCUCUGGAAUCAGACGGCCUGGGGCCACGUCCUAGCUCUGCCAGUUUUAAAAAAACAGCUUGAUCGAGAUCUGAUGAAGCAAGCUGCUCUUGGGAGCUGCCCUGUGAGGAGGCCCACACAGCAAGGAACAAAGGAGGAGCAACUGGAUCCUGCAACAAACAAGUGACUGGGCUGCUGUUUCCCCAGGUGAGCCUGGAGAUGACGGCCACCUGGCUGGACUUUAUUGCCACCUGUGAAAGACCUUGAGCCAGAGGAUCCAGCUGAUCCAUGCCUGGAUUCCUGACCCACAGAAAUCAU